UGACAGCUGUUCUUCGCAUGUCUGUGAGAUUAAGACAUGCGAUUUUAGGCUGUCAUAAAUAAAUCUAGAAAUAUUUCACCCAUGUUUGAGGCUAUUUUAGCACUUUUCAUUCAUGGUUUUGCGAUGUCUUACAUAA
This 136-nucleotide small nucleolar RNA is filed under the name Stegodyphus dumicola. RNAcentral's name for it is "small nucleolar RNA SNORA79". It matches the Rfam family "Small nucleolar RNA SNORA79". From Rfam's summary of the family: ACA65 (SNORA79) is a member of the H/ACA class of snoRNAs that guide the sites of modification of uridines to pseudouridines. This snoRNA was identified by computational screening and its expression in mouse experimentally verified by Northern blot and primer extension analysis. Lineage: Eukaryota; Metazoa; Arthropoda; Arachnida; Araneae; Eresidae. The record is from RNAcentral.